GAGUUUGAUCAUGGCUCAGAUUGAACGCUGGCGGCAUGCCUUACACAUGCAAGUCGAACGGCAGCACGGGAGCUUGCUCCUGGUGGCGAGUGGCGAACGGGUGAGUAAUGCAUCGGAACGUAUCCUGGAGUGGGGGAUAACGUAGCGAAAGUUACGCUAAUACCGCAUAUUCUGUGAGCAGGAAAGCGGGGGACCUUCGGGCCUCGCGCUCUUGGAGCGGCCGAUGUCGGAUUAGCUAGUUGGUGAGGUAGAGGCUCACCAAGGCGACGAUCCGUAGCAGGUCUGAGAGGAUGAUCUGCCACACUGGAACUGAGACACGGUCCAGACUCCUACGGGAGGCAGCAGUGGGGAAUUUUGGACAAUGGGGGCAACCCUGAUCCAGCCAUGCCGCGUGAGUGAAGAAGGCC
This 407-nucleotide ribosomal RNA is filed under the name bacterium enrichment culture clone ALO1_GLFRUDD03G289V. Its description in RNAcentral is "bacterial SSU rRNA". It matches the Rfam family "Bacterial small subunit ribosomal RNA", at positions 9 to 416 of the family's 1533-position model. The record is from RNAcentral.